This is a small nuclear RNA of Heterocephalus glaber (naked mole-rat), 237 nucleotides long. Its record names the gene U2. It matches the Rfam family "U2 spliceosomal RNA". Rfam says of the family: U2 is a small nuclear RNA (snRNA) component of the spliceosome (involved in pre-mRNA splicing). Complementary binding between U2 snRNA (in an area lying towards the 5' end but 3' to hairpin I) and the branchpoint sequence (BPS) of the intron results the bulging out of an unpaired adenosine, on the BPS, which initiates a nucleophilic attack at the intronic 5' splice site, thus starting the first of two transesterification reactions that mediate splicing. Lineage: Eukaryota; Metazoa; Chordata; Mammalia; Rodentia; Bathyergidae. The record is from Ensembl.
AUCGCUUCUUGGCCUUUUGGCUAAGAUCAAGUGUAGUAUCUGGUACUGUAUCACAAGACAAUUUCAAAUGCUGCCUCUUUUUGGGAAAACAGUUCAAAUGAAUGUUGCUUGUAGAGUAGGUUUCCAACUGCCAUUUUCCUUUUAUUUAUUGAUUCAACUAAUAUUUAUUAAAUGUUGCUUGUGCCAGGAAAUAUUAGGAAUACAAAGUUCCUACUCUCGUACAAGUGUACAUUUUAA